This 301-nucleotide ribosomal RNA is filed under the name uncultured bacterium. RNAcentral's name for it is "partial 16S ribosomal RNA". It matches the Rfam family "Bacterial small subunit ribosomal RNA", at positions 509 to 807 of the family's 1533-position model. The record is from RNAcentral.
CAGUCGCCGCGGUAAUACGGAGGGGGCUAGCGUUGUUCGGAAUUACUGGGCGUAAAGCGCACGUAGGCGGCUUUACAAGUCAGAGGUGAAAGCCUGGUGCUCAACACCAGAAUUGCCUUUGAGACUGUAUCGCUUGAACGUCGGAGAGGUGAGUGGAAUUCCGAGUGUAGAGGUGAAAUUCGUAGAUAUUCGGAAGAACACCAGUGGCGAAGGCGGCUCACUGGACGACUGUUGACGCUGAGGUGCGAAAGCGUGGGGAGCAAACAGGAUUAGAUACCCCCGUAGUCCCUGUCUCUUAUAC